GAUGAACGCUGGCGGCGUGCCUAACACAUGCAAGUCGAGCGAAGCGCCUUACUUGAUUUCUUCGGGAUUGAAAGUAUUGUGACUGAGCGGGCGCGGGUGAAGUACGCGUGAUAACCUGCCUCAUACAGGGGGAUAACAGUUAGAAAUGACUGCUAAUACCGCAUAAGACCACAGCACCGCAUGGUGCAAGGGGUAAAAACUCCGGUGGUAUGAGAUCGGAUCCGCGUUGGAUUAGCCAGUUGGGCAGGGUAACGGCCUACCAAAGCGACGAUCCAUAGCCGGCCUGGAGACGGGGUGAAACGGCCACAUGGGGACUGAGACACGGCCCAG
RNAcentral lists this ribosomal RNA (330 nucleotides) under uncultured bacterium. RNAcentral describes it as "bacterial SSU rRNA". It matches the Rfam family "Bacterial small subunit ribosomal RNA", at positions 28 to 334 of the family's 1533-position model. The record is from RNAcentral.